UUGAACGCUGGCGGCAUGCCUUACACAUGCAAGUCGAACGGUAGAGGGGCAACCCUUGAGAGUGGCGAACGGGUGAGUAAUAUAUCGGAACGUGCCCAGUCGUGGGGGAUAACGCAGCGAAAGCUGCGCUAAUACCGCAUACGAUCUAUGGAUGAAAGCGGGGGAUCGCAAGACCUCGCGCGAUUGGAGCGGCCGAUAUCAGAUUAGGUAGUUGGUGGGGUAAAAGCCCACCAAGCCGACGAUCUGUAGC
This 250-nucleotide ribosomal RNA is filed under the name uncultured bacterium. RNAcentral's name for it is "partial 16S ribosomal RNA". It matches the Rfam family "Bacterial small subunit ribosomal RNA", at positions 30 to 287 of the family's 1533-position model. The record is from RNAcentral.